AAAGAAGCAGCCAAUACUUUAGCCGCCGCACACUAUGCCGCCACCGAGAAGUCCAUCAAGAAGGCCGAAACCACCAAGACACCUGCAAAGGUCGUGGCUGCCAAGCGAGACGCAGCAAAGUCUGUUGAUGAUGCAUUAAAGUAUGGUGCCAUCUCUCGGAAAGCAGCUGGUACAAGUUCUUCUACCUCCCCCAAUAAGAAAGAAGGCACCACUGAUGCUGCUAAGAUGUUCACCAAGAAGGCUGAAACCGCUACCACACCUGAAGAGGCCGCGGCUGCCAAGCAAGCUGCAGCCAAGUCUACCGCUGCUGCAUCAAAGUAUGGUGUCAUUUCUCAGCAAGUAGCUGGUACAAGUUCUUCUACCUCCCCUAGCAGGAAAGAAGCUGCCGGUACCUUGGCAGAUGCUCGCAUAGCUGCUGCCGAGAAGUCCAUCAAGAAGGCUGAAACCGCCACAAGACCUGAAGAGGCAGCAUCCGCUAAGAAGGAUGCCACAAAAUCCGAGGCUGAUGCAAUGAAGUACGGGGCCAUCUCUCAGCAGGCCGCCGGCAAAAAUGGUGCCUAAGUGGUGCCUUAAACACCUAUUCACACGCAACAUCAUCUACAUACUACCAUGCAUGCAAAAUAGCAGCAUUCAGAUACCACAUUAUGCUAAUUCUCAUGCAUGCACACUUUGUUUAAACGUUCCCAUUACGAAUCAUGUAUUAAUGUCUUGCUUGUUUUAUUUUUAGUAGUAAGACAUGCUUGACUUGCUUUAAAAAAAAUACAACAAUCGAUGUAUACAUGUAUUAUCUAAAAAUCAGUAAUAUGAGUUCCACCGCAAUUUGUUUCUUUUUGUCAUAAUUUGGGUGCAAUCAAUGCACACAUCCAAUACACAAAAUUGGACGACUCAAUGUGUUGUGGCUCCAUGGAGCGGCGAAUCAUGUUUUAUUGUCUUGCUUGUUUUACUUUUAGUAGUAAUGUCUUGCUGGUCAAUGUAUUAUGGCUCCAUGGAGCGGCAUAAUGAUAUAUGAUAUAUCUUCACUACUUCAAAAAGAACUUAAGGUUUCGUCAUACAUCUUUCCUUCAUCCAUCCUCCCUACGAAUCCUUCCUGUUUUGAUUUUUUUCUCCCAUCUUUGAUUUUUCUCCCCAUUGAUUCUACCUAAAAACCACCUCAAUGUCACAUGUUUACUGUAUAUGUCAAGGCCUCCUUUGGUUCAUAGGGUAGAAAAAAACAUAGGAAUAGGAAAGUCAUAGGAAAUGAGAUGACAUGUAUCUCAAAUCCUAUGAUUGGGAAUAGGAAAGGAGAUGCCCUUUGAUUCACAUCAUAGGAUUUUUUCAUUGAAUCUAGGCUAAUGUUUAUUUUCCUAUGAAAUGUGAAGGAGAGGAAGAAUUCCUCCAUAGGAUUAGGAUUCCAUUCCUACAAACCAAAGGACUCUAAAGGAAUUUUUUCUAUAGAAAUCCUAUCCUAUGAAAUUCUUACAAGAUUCCUCCAAAUCAAAGGAGGCCCAAGUGGUUGUGAUGAGACAGUGGCUGGGCACUUCAGAUUUAUUCCCGUAACUGACUGUCAAAUUGAGUCAUCUGUCGUCCUUUCGAUGAUUGUAAGAAAGUUAUAUGUUUACUGUAUGUGCCAAUUGGUUGUGAUUAUCGUUACCGGCCACAAAGUUAUAUUUUCUUGUCUUAACGAAGGGUUGCAUACAAUGCGUGUAGCUCUUGACGCCUGAUAACCCACAAGUAUAGGGGAUCGCAACAGUUUUUGAGGGUAGAGUAUUCAACACAAAUUUAUAGAUUCGACACAAGGGGAGCCAAAGAAUAUUUGUAAGUAUUAACAGCUGAGUUAUCAAUUCAACCACACCUGGAGAUUAAUUAUCUGCAGCAAAGUGAUCAGUAGCAUAGUAGUAUGAUAGUUUUGAUAGUAGUAGCAACAUCAACAGUAACGGUAAUAGUGGUAGCAAUGGUUUUGUAGCAGUGACAAUAGUAACAGCAGCAGUAGUAACUUAGCAAGAACAAUAUGUACGAAAAUCGUACGCAUUGGAUCGGUGAUUUGUUGGAUGAUAUUCAUCAUGUGACAGUUACAACCUAGGACGAUACGGCACUAGCUCCAGUUCAUAAAUAUAAUGUAGGCAUGUAUUCUAUAAAUAAUCAUACGUGCUUAUGGAAAGAACUUGUAUGACAUCUUUUGUCCUACCCUCCUGUGGCAGCGGUGUCCUAUUGGAAACUAAGGGAUAUUAAGGCCUCCUUUUAAUAGAGAACCAGAACAAAGCAUUAACACACGGUGAAUACAUGAACUCCUCAAACUACGGUCAUCACAGGGAAGUGUCCCGACUAUUGUCACUCCGGGGUUGCCGGAUCAUAACACGUAGUAGGUAACUAUAACUUGCAAGAUUGGAUCUAGAACAUAGAUAUAAUGGUGAUAACAUAAGUCAUAGCAACAUCAAUCUCAGAACAUAAUGGAUACUCGGGAUGAAGCCCUAACAAAACUAACUCAAUUACAUGAUGAAUCUCAUCCAACUCCUCACCGACCAGCGAGCCUACGAAGGAAUUACUCACUCCUGGUGGGGAGCAUCAUGGAAUUGGCGAUGGAGAAGGGUUGGUGAUGACGAAGAUCGAAGACCCCCCUCUCUGGAGCCCCAAACGGACUCCAAAUCUAGCCUCCCGAUGAAGAACAGGAGAUGACGGCGGCUCUGUCUCGUGGAUCGUGAUAAUUCUUUCUUCCUGAUUUUUUCUGGAAAAAUAGGAUUUUAUAGCGUCGGAUUCAGGGCCUGCGGGGCCACCAGGUGGGGACAACCCACCUGGGUGUGCUUGGAGGGGGGGGGCCUGGUGGGUUGUGCCCAUCCAGGUGCCCCCCUCCGGUUGUUCUUGGCUCCAGAAAUUCUCUGUAUUUGUAUAAAAAUUCCUCGCAAAGUUUUGUUCCAAUCCGAAAACUUUUAUUUCUGCACAAAAAAAACACCAUGGUAGUUUUGUUGGAAACAGCGUCAGUCCGGGUUAGUUUCAUUCAAAUCAUGCAAAUUAGAGUGCAAAACAAGAGGAAAGUGUUAGGAAAAGUAGAUACGACGGAGAUGUAUCAACUCCUCCAAGCUUAAACCUUUGCUUGUCCUCAAGCAAUUCAGUUGAUAAACUGAAAGUGAAAAAAAAAUUACGAACUCUUUUGCUCUUGUUUUCAUAAAUAAGCUUAAACAUCACCCAGUGUCGAUGUCAAAACCGGCGGAUCUCGGAUAGGGGGUCCCGAACUGUGCGUCUAGGCGGAUGGUAACAGGAGACAAGGGACACGAUGUUUACCCAGGUUCGGGCCCUCUCGAUGGAGGUAAAACCCUACUCCUGCUUGAUUAAUAUUGAUGAUAUGGGCAGUACAAGAGUAGAUCUACCACGAGAUCAAGGAGGCUAAACCCUAGAAGGUAGCCUAUGGUAUGAUUGUUGUUGUCCUACAGACUAAAACUCUCUGGUUUAUAUAGACACCGGAGAGGGUUAGGGUUACACAGAGUCGGUUACAAUGGUAGGAGAUCUACAUAUCUGUAUCGCCAAGCUUGCCUUCCACGCCAAGGAAAGUCCCUUCCAGACACGGGAAGAAGUCUUCAAUCUUGUAUGUUCAUAGUCCGGGAGUCCGGCUGAAGGUAUCGUCCGGCUAUCCGGACACCCCCUAAUUCAGGACUCCCUUAGAGCCCCCGAACCAGGCUUCAAUGACGACGAGUCUGGCACGCAAAUUGUCUUCGGCAUUGCAAGGCGGGUUCUCCUUCAAUUUCUGUGUACCUGCUGAAUAAUGUCCGGUUUCUUAUAAAUGUAGCGCUCCUCGGCUUCCACGCCCAAUAAUGGCCGUCUUCCACGUGUCAAAUGAAUACGAAAAGUCUGGGUGUUUUUACAUUCACACCCCCAGCCGCGUAAAUGAGCCGCCUAUUUAAAGGGACGGGGAUUUAGAUCCAAACCACACCUUCUCCUCUCCGCGAGUUUCAUCAGAGCGCAUCCGACAAAGGACCGUUCCAUCAUGGCCAGCCGUCGCAGCUCCUCCUCUCGCCCUUCCAGCCCUCAUCCUGGAGAUUGGGAGAGAUGCUCCGUCCCGCACAGCGAGCUAGUGUCGCUUCGGACCAAAGGGAUUUCUUCCUCCGGCCUAUAUGGUCCCGGUUCGAGCCGGACUUGCCACCUAUAAUGGCGGAGAGCAAGUGGAGAGCGCCCCCAAUCCCUCCAAAGGAGAGCGGGUAUGCCUUGUCCCUUAUUUAAUAAGAGGGCUCGGAUUUCCAAUUCAUCCAUUUCUCCGGGGGCUCCUGGAGUUCUAUGGCCUCCAGCUGCACAACCUCACGCCUGUCUCCGUAUUGCAUAUUGCGGGCUUCGUAGCCCUUUGCGAGUUGUUUUUGGGUGUUGAGGCUCAUUUCGCGCUGUGGAAGAGGCUAUUCUGCCUUGUGCCCUGUUCUUAGGAGGGGUCAAUAUAUCAAGUGGGCGGAGCCAAAGUGUGGUGUAUCGCCGGGACCGGAUAUCUAUCCGGAACCCCAAAGAAGGCGUCUGAGGACUGGCCUUCAGAAUGGUUUUAUAUAGAGGACGUCCCGUUGCCGGAUCCUGUUCGGAUCGGCCUCCCUGAGUUCAACAGCGCUCCCCUAAAGAAAAACCUAAGCUGGCGCCCACGGAGCCCUCAGAGAGAAAGUGACAAGGACAUUCUUUACCUGAUGGGCCGGAUAAGAUUAUUAGCUCAUUCCGGACUAACCAUGAUCGGAGUCAUGGCUGCAUGCAUCAUGCGAGGGGUGCAACCGCUUCAGUACAGAGGCCACCCCAUGUGGGACUUCAACGGGGAGGAUGAUGCCACCCGUCACGGCCGUAAGGGGCCGGACUCGGCUACCGCUCUAGUAAAGAUCUUGUCCGCUUUGUACAAGGGAGAAGAGGAGGAAUUUCUCCGCGUCAACCCACAGGGUGGAUUUACCAUGUACAAUCCCCCAAGUUGGGUAAGUGGGCAAUUUUACUUGCACGUCUGUUUUGUAUUCCCAUCAUUAAAUAUAUAGUCUAACGACUUCAACGCAGGAACUGCGCCUGGAAGUAAAGGACAUAAAUAGCCCGCCUCCACAGCCCGAGGACCCAGAGUUGUCCCUCGAUCCGGCCUCCGAAGAGGAUCCGGACUUAUCCAUGGAGUUAAUUGAUGGGGUGUUUUAUCAAUUGAGCAAGGACAAUGCCUUGGUGGCCAUUAAGGCCGAUUACCCGGGGCUGCUCCCGGCCUCCCAGGUAACUGAGACCGAAGUCCUAGCACCUCAAAAAGGGAUCCGCCCUCGCGUGUUUUUCAGUUUCCUGACAACAACCGUGUUUUGCAGGGGAGGUUCUUGAGACGGGAGGCCGAGCCUGCGGCGACUAGCCAACGAGGGGCUACAGGGCCCCGUGGGAUGAAAAGAAGUGCAGUCCGGAUUGAGGCGCCGGCGCAGAGGUAUAGCACGCCUUCUUAUUCCCAGGUGUUAUUCCUUCAAGGCAUAUUAACACUCGUGCUCUUUUCAGGACAAAAAGACCCCGCCGGACUAUAUCUGGAGAGGCUGCCAAUCGCGCCUCCACCAGCCAGGCUCCAAAGCCUGGUCCGGAGACGGAGGCGAACACGAGGCGCGCACCGGACGCUCCUCCAACAGAGGAUGCGGACAGGCUGUCCGCCACUAAUUCCGAGGUGGAGAGUGCCAUGAACCACAGGCGUCGCCGGACAGUUCUUCGCGACGCUUGUUUCUCCCAAGAGGCAUUGGACGCCUUCAAUUCGGGAGAUGCGUACCUCCGUGCCGCUCAAAAUGGUCUAGCCAGAGCCACGGAGCAAUAUGUAAAAGACAUACAGGUGAGAAAAUUUAAUGGUUAUAUAUAUCAGUAGCCCCCGAGACUUGAAACAGUUAGAAGAACUGAUUUAAGGAUCAUUCAUAAUGCAGGUUCUUGCGGAAAAGAAUACCCAACUGUCCCAGGAGCUAGAAGAGUGCAAAGCCCAACUUGAGGCCGCACUAGCCGCGACAGGGGAGCCCAAGGAGACCCCCUCUGGUAAUAUGUGCUUCAAAAAGAGAAGUAUUUUGUGAAGUGCGGCGUUUGUGCAAAUCUGACAAAUGAAAUUGCAGAUGGCGCCGGAUUAGAUCCGGAAAAGCAACAACUCCUACGCCAGCUAAAGGCUGGUGAGAGCGUGCUGACAAAGGUGAGGUGGGAGAAGAACGAUCUCCAAUAUGCCAACACCAAGCUGGGCGUUGAACUGAAAGAUGUUUGUGCCCAGCUGUCGGACUCCGCUAAGGAGAAUCAGCGGCUUCGACGCGGCAUAUUUAGUAAGUGCUUAAACGAACUUUGAAUAAAGAGUUCGACGAGGAAGUCGACUAACGGAGUAAUGUCUGUAGGUAUGCUAACAGGUCGUCCUGCAGAGGAGAUGCCCGGUUCUAUGGGUGACCUUCUUCCCGAGCUCUUGCAACUGCACGAGCGAGUUCGGCAGGUGAUGCAGGGCGUCGCCCAGGCCUUGUGGCCAUCCAUCUCCAUGCCCGAAGGACUUGGAGAGCUUGCAGAGAAGCUGAAGGGAGCGCGGCGGCGCUUCUGAUUGUGGAAGAUAUCGGCCUGCGUCAAGGCGCUAGGGAGGCAUGGGCCAUGGUGAAGACGCGGUACACGAAGGCUGACCCAAACCACAUGGCCGAGGUCGGACCUGUGGGGCCCGAUGGGAAGGAGAUCCCUGUAAGCUUCGUAUACGGCUAAGUAGAAUUGGCCGCAAAGUAUUCCCAGCAGGACUGUAAGCUAGACAGCCUGUUAGAUGGUAUUGAAGAGGAAUACAAUCAGUCAUAAUGACUAUGUAAUUUUAAUUGACAUGUGUAAUGCCUUCUAGCCAGAUUGUAGAUCAUUUUUCAUGGCCGACCUUUUUGCUUCGACCUCGGGACCUGCGGUCUGGAGUGUGUCCGAAUACCCUUGCGGUUAUAUAAGAACCGGGGUAUGCAUGGAGACUAGGCGUAGGGGUCAUUAGUGCUUGAACAGACAAGUGCCCGACUAGUUAUGUUAUAUUACAUGGUUAGUAAGAAACAUCUUCCAGGGAGAAUAGUUCCGUUAGGGGUUCCUUUCCCUGGGAGGCAUGCCCUAAAGUGCAUGUCCAUUCUGCGAAAAAGAGACGCAGGAAAAAACAUCUGGGGGCGCAUAGAUAAAUAAGUGAAAAAAUCAUCUUUAGUUCACCGACCGAAUAUUUCCUUAAGAACGCUAGCUUUCGGCUUCACCCAGUCUGAGGUACACAUCGGGCUGACCCGGCAGUAACAAUCGCAGAGGUGCUCCCUUUACCACCUAGCCGAACAAUCGGGAACAUAGGGGUAAGCACAGGAGCCAGGCAACCCAGCUUGGCCAAAAAUUAAGUCAUAUCGAUGCAUAUGAUGGUGAAUAAAAGGUACAUGCGGAAGUGUGACACAUGUGUUGGGCAUGAAGCCCGUAUAAGCUUCUGUUCAAAGAAGCCCCCAGGUUUAGUGAGCGUGGAUAGCGCGUCACUUGAUGAGCCUUUAAAGGCUAUAAGAGAAAGGAGGGGGAGAAGGAGAAAAUGGAAGACAGAAAAUAUAAAAAAUGGACAGAGGAAGGAGACGAACAUAGAGUCCGGCGCUAGGCAUAGAAUCUUCGGAGACGGGCUGCGUUCCAUGGGUUCGGUUCGAGUCGGUUAUCCGAUGCAUCUCGCAGGCGGUAUGCUCCACCAGUCAGGACUUGGUCAAUUAUGAAGGGACCUUCCCACUUGGGCUGGAGUUUGUCCUUUUUCUUGUCCGGCAGGCGUAGAACUAGUUCGCCAACAUUGUAAUUUUUGGCCCGUACUUCUCUGCUUUGAUAUCUUCGAGCCUGCUGUUGAUAGAAUGCGGAACGGGCUUUUGCCACGUCACGCUCCUCCUCCAAGGCAUCUAAACUGUCCUGCCGAUCGAGCUCGGCUUCUCUUUCUUCGUACAUGCGCACUCAAGGUGAGUCAUGAAUUAUAUCGCAGGGCAAAACUGCUUCUGCACCGUACACCAUGAAGAAUGGUGUGUAUCCGGUGGUGCGAUUCGACGUGGUCCGCAGCCCCCAGAGUACGGAGUCGAGCUCCUCUACCCAGUGCGUGUUAGAUUCCUUAAGGUACCGCACUAAUCUGGGUUUGAUGCCGCUCAUGAUAAGACCAUUUGCGUGUUCGACCUGUCCGUUAGUUUGUGGGUGAUAGACGGAAGCAUAAUCGAGCUUGAUGCCCAUGUUUUUGCACCAGAGUUUUACCUCAUCGACCGUAAAGUUCGUACCGUUAUCAGUGAUGAUGCUGUGGGGGACGCCGUAACGGUGUACGACCCCCGAUAUAAAGUCUAUCACCGGUCCGGAUUCGGCCGUCUUAAUAGGCUUGGCCUCUAUCCAUUUGGUGAACUUAUCCACCAUGACCAGUAAGUAUUUUUUCUUCUGGGUUCCGCCUUUAAGGGGUCCAACCAUGUCAAGCCCCCAGACCGCGAAGGGCCAAGUGAUGGGGAUAGUUUGGAGGGCGGUGGGUGGCAUAUGGCUUUGGUUUGGCAAAAGCUGGCAACCGACGCAUCGUUGGACUAAGUCCUGAGCGUCUGCCCGGGCCGUUGGCCAAUAAAAGCCUGUACGGAAAGUCUUGCUUACGAGGGACCGAGUUGCGGUGUGAUGACCAUCGAGUCCGGCAUGAAUUUCAGCCAGCAAGUUCCGCCCAUCCUCCUCGGAGAUGCACCUUUGAAGGACUCCGGUAGUGCUUUUCUUAUAAAGCUCUCCCUCAUGGACUUUAUAGGCUUUAGAUCGCCGCACUAUGCAGCGUGCCUCAUUUUGGUCUUCUGGGAGUUCCUGCCUAGUAAGGUAGGCUAGGAAUGGUUCUGUCCACGGGGCGAUGACCGCCAUUAUUACGUGGGCUGAAGAUGUGACUUCAUUGGCAGAAUCUCCAAUUAUGUCAGUGUUGGGUAACGUAGCAGAAAUUCAAAAUUUUCCUACGUGUCACCAAGAUCUAUCUAUGGAGAAACCAGCAACGAGGGGAAGGAGAGUGCAUCUACAUACCCUUGUAGAUCGCUAAGCGGAAGCGUUCAAGAGAACGGGGUUGAAGGAGUCGUACUCGUCGUGAUCCAAAUCACCGAUGAUCCUAGUGCCGAACGGACGGCACCUCCGCGUUCAACACACGUACAGCCCGGUGACGUAUCCCACGCCUUGAUCCAGCAAGGAGAGAGGGAGAGGUUGAGGAAGACUCCAUCCAGCAGCAGCACAACGGCGUGGUGGUGGUGGAGGAGCGUGGCAAUCCUGCAGGGCUUCGCCAAGCACCACGGGAGAGGAGGAAGGAGAGAUGCAGGGCUGCGUCAUAUAGAAGAGAGGAACUCGCGUCUUAUGAGCAGCCCAAACCUCAACUAUAUAUAGGGGAAGGGGAGAGGCUGCGGCCCCUUUAGGGUUUCCACCCCUAGGGGUGGCGGCCAGCCUAGAUCCCAUCUAAGGGAGGCGGCCAAGGGGGAGGGGGAGAGGGAGGCGCACCAGGAUGGGCCUUAGGGCCCAUCUGCCCUAGGGUUUGCCCCCUUCUCCUCUCCCUUGCACCUUGGGCCCUUGUGGGGGGGGGGGCGCACCAGCCCACCUGGGGCUGGUCCCCUUCCACACUUGGCCCAUGAAGCCCUCCGGGGCUGGUUUGCCCCACUUGGUGGACCCCCGGGACCCUCCCGGUGGUCCCGGUACGUCACCGAUAAACCCCGAAACUUUUCCGGUGACCAAAACAGGACUUCCCAUAUAUAAAUGUUUACCUCCGGACCAUUCCAGAACUCCUCGUGACGUCCGAGAUCUCAUCCGGGACUCCGAACAACAUUCGGUAACCACAUACAAACUUCCUUUAUAACCCCAGCGUCAUCGAACCUUAAGUGUGUAGACCCUACGGGUUUGGGAGACAUGCAGACAUGACCGAGACGUUCUCUGGUCAAUAACCAAUAGCGGGAUCUGGAUACCCAUGUUGGCUCCCACAUGUUCCACGAUGAUCUCAUCGGAUGAACCACGAUGUCAAGGACUUAAUCAAUCCCGUAUACAAUUCCCUUUGUCUAUCGGUACGAUACUCGCCCGAGAUUCGAUCGUCGGUAUCCCGAUACCUUGUUCAAUCUCAUUACCGGCAAGUCUCUUUACUCGUUCCGUAACACAUCAUCCCGUGAUCAACUCCUUGAUCACAUUGUGCACAUUAUGAUGAUGUCCUACCGAGUGGGCCCAGGGAUACCUCUCCGUCACACGGAGUGAUAAAUCCCAGUCUCGAUUCGUGCCAACCCAACAGACACUUUCAGAGAUACCCGUAGUGUACCUUUAUAGCCACCCAGUUACCUUGUGACGUUUGGCACACCCAAAGCACUCCUACGGUAACCGGGAGUUGCACAAUCUCAUGGUCUAAGGAAAUGAUACUUGACAUUAGAAAAGCUUUAGCAUACGAACUACACGAUCUAGUGCUAUGCUUAGGAUUGGGUCUUGUCCAUCACAUCAUUUUCCUAAUGAUGUGAUCCCGUUAUCAACGACAUCCAAUGUCCAUGGUCAGGAAACCGUAACCAUCUAUUGAUCAACGAGCUAGUCAACUAGAGGCUUACUAGGGACAUGGUGUUGUCUAUGUAUCCACACAUGUAUCUGAGUUUCCUAUCAAUAUAAUUCUAGCAUGGAUAAUAAACGAUUAUCAUGAACAAGGAAAUAUAAUAAUAAUCAAUUUAUUAUUUCCUCUAGGGCAUAUUUCCAACAGUCUCCCACUUGCACUAGAGUCAAUAAUCCAGUUCACAUCGUUAUGUGACUAACACUCAAGGUCACAUCCCCAUGUGACUAACACCCAAAGAGUUUACUAGAGUCAAUAAUCUAGUUCACAUUUACCAUGUGAUUAACACUCGAUGAGUUCUGGGUUUGAUCAUGUUAUGCUUGUGAGAGAGGUUAUAGUCAACGGGUCUGAACCUUUCAGAUCCGUGUGUGCUUUACAAAUCUCUAUGUCAUCUCCUAGAUGCAGCUACCACGCUCUAUUUGGAGCUAUUCCAAAUAACUGUUCUACUAUACGAAUCCAGUUUACUACUCAGAAUAAUCUGGAUUAGUGUCAAAGUUUGCAUCGGCGUAACCCUUUACGACGAACUCUUUUACCACCUCCAUAAUCGAGAAAAUUCCUUAGUCCACUAGUUACUAAGGAUAACUUUGAUCGCUGUCCUGUGAUCCAUUCUUGGAUCACUCUUGUACCCCUUGACUGACUCAUGGCAAGGCACACUUCAGGUGCGGUACAUAGCAUAGCAUACUGUAGAGCCUAUGUCUUAAGCAUAGGGGACGACCUUCGUUCUUUCUCUCUAUUCUGCCGUGGUCAAGCUUUAAGUCUUAACUUCAUACCUUACAACUCAGGCAAGAACUCCUUCUUUGACUGAUCCAUCUUGAACACCUUCAAGAUCAUGUCAAGGAAUGUGCUCAUUUGAAAGUACCAUUAAGUGUUUUGAUCUAUCCUUAUAGAUCUUGAUGCUCAAUGUUCAAAUAGCUUAAUCCAGGCUUUCCAUUGAAAAAACACUUUCCAAAUAACCCUAUAUGCUUUCCAGAAAUUCUACGUCAUUUCUGAUCAACAAUAUGUCAACAACAUAUAUUCAUCAGAAAUUCUAUAGUGCUCCCACUCACUUCUUUGGAAAUACAAGUUUCUCAUAAACUUCGUAUUCACCCAAAAUCUUUGAUCAUCUCAUCAAAGCAUACAUUCCAACUCGAGAUGCUUACUCCAGUACUUAGAAGGAUUGCUGGAGCUUUGCAUACUUAUUAGCAUAUUUCAGGAUUGACAAAACCUUCCGGUUGUAUCACAUACAACCUUUCCUCAAAAAUCAUCGAGGAAACAAUGUUUUGACAUCCUAUCUGCAAGAUUUCAUAAAUGAUGCAGUAAUUGCUAAUAUAAUUCCAACAGACUCUUAGCAUCGCUACGAGUGAGAAAGUCUCAUCGUAGUCAACUCCUUGAACUUGUCGGAAAACAUCUUAAUGACAAGUCGAGCUUUCUUAAUGGUGAUACUUACCAUCAUUGUCCGUCUUCCUUUUAAAAUCCAUAUGUACCUAACAGCCUUACGACCAUCAAGUUGUUCUUCCAAAGUCUACACUUUGUUUUCACAUAUGGAUCCUCUCUCGGAUUAUAUGGCCUUGAGCCAUUUUGGAAUCCAGGCCCACCAUUGCUCCUCCAUAGCUCGUAGGUUCAUUGUUGUCUAGCAACAUGACUUCCAAGACAGGAUUACGUACCAUUCUAAAGCAGUACACAUCCUUGUCAUCCCACGAGGUUUGGUAGUGACUUGAUCUGAAGUUUCAUGAUCACUAUCAUAAGCUUCCACUUCAAUUGGUGUAGGUGCCACAGGAACAACUCCCUGUGCCCUGCCACACACUAGUUGAAGAGAUGGUUCAAUAACCUCAUCAAGUCUCCACCAUCCUCCCACUCAAUUCUUUCGAGAGAAACUUUUCCUCGAGAAAGGACCCGAUUCUAGUAACAAUCCCUUAUUGCUUUCGAAUCUGAGACAGGAGGUAUACCCAACUGUUUUGGGUGUCCUAUGAAGAUGUAUUUAUCCGCUUUGGGUUCGAGCUUAUCGACCUGAAACUUUUUCACAUAAGCGUCGCAGCCCCAAACUUUUAAGAAAUGACAGCUUAGGUUUCUCUAAACCAUAGUUCAUACGGUGUCAUCUCAUCGGAAUUACGUGGUGCCCUAUUUAAAGUGAAUGUGGUUGUCUCUAAUGCCUAACCCAUAAACUAUUGUGGUAAUUCGAUAAGAGACAUCAUGGUAUGCAUCAUAUCCAAUAGGGUGCAGUUAUGAUGUUCGGACACACCAUCACACUAUGGUGUUCCAGGCUGUAUCAGUUGUGAAACAAUUUCCACAAUGUCUUAAUUCUGUGCCAAACUCGUAAUUCAGAUAUUCAUCUCUAUGAUCAUAUCAUAGAUAUUUUAUCCUCUUGUCACGAUGAUCUUUCAACUUCACCCUGAAAUUACUUGAACCUUUCAAUAAUUCAAACUCAUGAUUCAUCAAGUAAAUAUACUCAACAUCUACUCAAAUCAUCUGUGAAGUAAGAACAUAACGAUAUCCACUACAUUCCUCAGCACUCAUUGGACUGCACACAUCAAAAUGUAUUACUUCCAACAAGUUGCUUUCUAGUUCCAUUUUACUGAAACCGAGGCUUUCAGUCAUCUUGCCCAUGUGGUAUGAUUUGCAUGUCUCAAGUGAUUCAAAAUCAAGUGAGUCCAAAUGGUCCAUUUGCAUGGAGUUUCUUCAUGCAUAUACACCAAUAGACAUGGUUCGCAUGUCUCAAACUUUUCAAAAAUGAGUGAGCCCAAAGAUCCAUCAACAUGGAGCUUCUUCAUGCGUUUUAUACUGAUAUGACUUACGUGGCAGUGCCACAAGUAGGUGGUACUAUCAUUACUAUCUUAUAUCUUUUGGCAUGAACAUGUGUAUCACUACGAUCAAGAUUCAAUAAACCAUUCAUUUUAGGUGCAAGACCAUUGAAGGUAUUAUUCAAAUGAACAGAGUAACCAUUAUUCUCCUUAAAUGAAUAGCCGUAUCGCGAUAGACAUAAUCCAAUCAUGUCUAUGCUCAACGCAAACACCAAAUAACAAUUAUUUAGGUUUAACACCAAUCUCGAUGGUAGAGGGAGCGUGCGAUGCUUGAUCAUAUCAACAUUGGAAACACUUCCAACACAUAUCGUCAGCUCACCUUUAGCUAGUCUCCGUUUAUUCCGUAGCUUUUAUUUCAAGUUACUAACACUUAGCAACCGAACCGGUAUCUAAUACCCUGGUGCUACUAGGAGUACCAGUAAAGUACACAUUAACACAAUGUAUAUCCAAUAUACUUCUAUCGACCUUGCCAGCCUUCUCUUCUACCAAGUAUCUAGGGUAAUUCUGCUCCAGUGGCUGUUCCCCUUAUUACAGAAGCACUUAAUUAGUCUCGGGUUUGGGUUCAACCUUGGGUUUCUUCACUAGAGCAGCAGCUAAUUUGCCGUUUCAUGAAGUAUCCCUUCUUGCCCUUGCCCUUCUUGAAACUAGUGGUUUCACCAACCAUCAACAAUUGAUGCUCCUUCUUGAUUUCUACUUUUGUGGUGUCAAACAUCGCGAAUAUCUCAAGGAUCAUCAUAUAUGUCCCUGAUAUAUUAUAGUUCAUCACGAAGCUCUAGCAGCUUGGUGGUAAUGACUUCGGAGAAACAUCACUUUCUCAUCUGGAAGAUCAACUCCCACUCGAUUCAAAUGAUUGUUGUACUCAGACAAUCUGAGCACAAGCUCAACAAUUGAGCUUUUCUCCCUUAGUUUGCAGGCUAAGAAAAUUGUCGGAGGUCUUAUACCUCUUGACAUGGGCACGAGCCUGAAAUCCAAAUUUCAGCCCUCGAAACAUCUCAUAUGUUUUGCGACGUUUCAAAACGUCUUUGGUGCCUCAACUCUAAACCGUUUAACUGAACUAUCACGUAGUUAUGAAAAUGUGUAUGUCAGAUGUUCGCAACAUCCACAGACAACGUUCGAGGUUCAGCACACUGAGCGGUGCAUUAAGGACAUAAGCCUUCUAUGAAGCAAUGAGGACAAUCCUCAGUUUACGGACCUAGUCCGCAUAAUUGCUACUAUCAACUUUCAACUAUUUUUUUUUCUCUAGGAACAUAUCUAAACAGUAGAACUAAAGCGCGAGCUACGACAUAAUUUGCAAAAUCCUUUUGACUAUGUUCAGGAUAAACAAGUUCAUCUUAUGAACUUCCACUCAGAUAGAUAUCCCUCUAGUCAUCUAAGUGAUUACAUGAUCCGAGUCAACUAGGCCGUGUUCGAUCAUCACGUGAGACGGACUAGUCAUCAUCGGUGAACAUCUUCAUGUUGAUCGUAUCUACCAUACGACUCAUGCUCGACCUUUCGGUCUCUUGUGUUCCGAGGCCAUGUCUGUACAUGCUAGGCUCAUCAAGUCAACCUAAGUGUUUCGCGUGUGUAAAUCUGUCUUACACCCGUUGUAUGUGAACGUUAGAAUCUAUCACGCCCGAUCAUCACGUGGUGCUUCGAAACGACGAACUUUCGCAACGGUGCAUAGUUAGGGGGAACACUUUCUUGAAAUUUUAAUGAGGGAUCAUCUUAUUUACUACUGUCGUUCUAAGCAAAUAAGAUGUAUAAACAUGAUAAACAUCACAUGCAAUCAAAUAGUGAUAUGAUAUGGCCAAUAUCAUAGUGCUCCUUUUGAUCUCCAUCUUCGGGGCUCCAUGAUCAUCAUCACCGGCAUGACACCAUGAUCUCCAUCAUCAUGAUCUCCAUCAUCGUGUCUUCAUGAAGUUGUCUCGCCAACUAUUACUUCUACUACUACAGCUAACUGUUAGCAAUAAAGUGAAGUAAUUACAUGGCGUUGUUUAAUGACACGCAGGUCAUAUAAUAAAUUAAGACAACUCCUAUGGCUCCUGCCGGUUGUCAUACUCAUCGACAUGCAAGUCGUGAUUCCUAUUACAAGAACAUGAUCAAUCUCAUACAUCACAUAUCAUUCAUCACAUUCUUCUUGGCCAUAUCACAUCACAUAGCAUACCCUGCAAAAACAAGUUAGACGUCCUCUAAUUGUUGUUUGCAUGUUUUACGUGGCUGCUAUGGGUUUCUAGCAAGAACGUUUCUUACCUACGCAAAACCACAACGUGAUAUGCCAAUUGCUAUUUACCCUUCAUAAGGACCCUUUUCAUCGAAUCCGAUCCGUCUAAAGUGGGAGAGACAAACACCCGCCAGCCACCUUAUGCAACUAGUGCAUGUUUGUCGAUGGAACCGGUCUCACGUAAGCGUAUGUGUAAGGUUGGUCCGGGCCGCUUCAUCCCACAAUGCCGCCGAAUCAAGAUUGGACUAGUAACGGUAAGCAUAUUGAACAAAAUCAACGCCCACAACUACUUUGUGUUCUACUCGUGCAUAGAAUCUACGCAAUAGACCUAGCUCAUGAUGCCACUGUUGGGUAACGUAGCAGAAAUUCAAAAUUUUCCUAUGUGUCACCAAGAUCUAUCUAUGGAGAAACCAGCAACGAGGGGAAGGAGAGUGCAUCUACAUACCCUUGUAGAUCGCUAAGCAGAAGCGUUCAAGAGAACGUGGUUGAAGGAGUCGUACUCGUCAUGAUCCAAAUCACCGAUGAUCCUAGUGCCGAACGGAUGACACCUCUGCGUUCAACACACGUACAGCCCGGUGACGUAUCCCACGCCUUGAUCCAGCAAGGAGAGAGGGAGAGGUUGAGGAAGACUCCAUCCAGCAGCAGCACAACGGCGUGGUGGUGGUGGAGGAGCGUGGCAAUCCUGCAGGGCUUCGCCAAGCACCACGGGAGAGGAGGAAGGAGAGAUGCAGGGCUGCGUCAUAUAGAGGAGAGGAACUCGCGUCUUAUGAGCAGCCCAAACCUCAACUAUAUAUAGGGGAAGGGGAGGGGCUGCGACCCCUUUAGGGUUUCCACCCCUAGGGGUGGCGGCCAGCCUAGAUCCCAUCUAAGGGAGGCGGCCAAGGGGGAGGGGGAGAGGGAGGCGCACCAGGAUGGGCCUUAGGGCCCAUCUGCCCUAGGGUUUGCCCCCUUCUCCUCUCCCUUGCGCCUUGGGCCCUUGUGGGGGGGGGCGCACCAGCCCACCUGGGGCUGGUCCCCUUCCACACUUGGCCCAUGAAGCCCUCCGGGGCUGGUGGCCCCACUUGGUGGACCCCCGGGACCCUCCCGGUGGUCCCGGUACGUUACCGAUAAACCCCAAAACUUUUCCGGUGACCAAAAUAGGACUUCCCAUAUAUAAAUCUUUACCUCCGGACCAUUCCGGAACUCCUCGUGACGUUCGGGAUCUCAUUCGGGACUCCGAACAACAUUCGGUAACCACAUACAAACUUCCUUUAUAACCCCAGAGUCAUCGAACCUUAAGUGUGUAGACCCUACGGGUUCGGGAGACAUGCAGGCAUGACCGAGACGUUCUCCGGUCAAUAACCAACAGCGGGAUCUGGAUACCCAUGUUGGCUCCCACAUGUUCCACGAUGAUCUCAUCGGAUGAACCACGAUGUCAAGGACUUAAUCAAUCCCGUAUACAAUUCCCUUUGUCUAUCGGUAUGAUACUCGCCCGAGAUUCGAUCGUCGGUAUCCCGAUACCUUGUUCAAUCUCGUUACCGGCAAGUAUCUUUACUCGUUCCAUAACACAUCAUCCCGUGAUCAACUCCUUGAUCACAUUGUGCACAUUAUGAUGAUGUCCUACCGAGUGGGCCCAGAGAUACCUCUCCGUCACACGGAGUGACAAAUCCCAGUCUCGAUUCGUGCCAACCCAACAGACACUUUCGGAGAUACCCGUAGUGUACCUUUAUAGCCACCCAGUUACGUUGUGACGUUUGGCACACCCAAAGCACUCCUACGGUAACCGGGAGUUGCACAAUCUCAUGGUCUAAGGAAAUAUUGACAUUAGAAAAGCUUUAGCAUACGAACUACAUGAUCUAGUGCUAUGCUUAGGAUUGGAUCUUGUCCAUCACAUCAUUCUCCUAAUGAUGUGAUCCCGUUAUCAACGACAUCCAAUGUCCAUGGUCAGGAAACCGUAACCAUCUAUUGAUCAACGAGCUAGUCAACUAGAGGCUUACUAGGGACAUGGUGUUGUCUAUGUAUCCACACAUGUAUCUGAGUUUCCUAUCAAUACAAUUCUAGCAUGGAUAAUAAACGAUUAUCAUGAACAAGGAAAUAUAAUAAUAAUCAAUUUAUUAUUGCCUCUAGGGCAUAUUUCCAACAGUCAGAUUGUUCGGUGUUGGGCAGUGCGGUUGAGUCCGGGCUGUUAUUGCCGGGUUCCCCUUCCCAUACUACGGACGGCUUGAAUAGCCUUUCCAAGAAGAUGUUGGGAGGGACUGCAUCGCGUUUUGCGCCGAUGCGUGCCAGGACAUCCGCCGCCUGAUUAUUUUCCCGGGCUAUAUGGUGAAAUUCGAGCCCUUCGAACUGAGCUGACAUUUUUAAGACGAUGUUGCGAUAAGCUGCCAUUUUUGGAUCCUUGGCAUCGAAGUCUCUGUUUAUUUGGGACAUUGCGAGGUUCAAAUCCCCUCGCACUUCUAGGCGUUGAAUACCCAUGGAUACUGCCAUCCAGAGACCAUGUAAGAGGGCCUCGUAUUCGGCUGCAUUGUUGGAGUCUGUGUACAUAAUCUGGAGUACAUAUUGAACUGUGUCUCCUGUGGGGGACGUCAAAACGACGCCAGCCCCCAGACCGGCCAACAUUUUGGAGCCGUCGAAAUGCAUGAUCUAGUUUUAAUAUGUGCCGUACUCUUCAGGGAGUUCGGCCUCCGUCCAUUCUGUGACGAAGUCAGCCAAAACUUGCGACUUGAUAGCUCGCCGUGGCUUAUAAGUUAUGUCGAACGGGAGGAGCUCGAUGGCCCAUUUCGCAAUCCGGCCCGUUGCGUUGCGGUUCUUUAUAAUAUCGUUUAGUGGUACUUCUGAGGCUACUAUUAUUGAACACUCUUGAAAGUAGUGUCGCAGCUUCCGGGAUGCCAUGAAUACCGCGUACGCAAUCUUUUGAUAAUGUGGGUACCUUGAUUUGCACGGAGUGAGGACAGUGGACACAUAAUAGACCGGCUUCUGAAGGGGGAAUUUGUGUCCGUCGUUUCUCGUUCGACGACGAGCACUGCGCUCAGAACCUGAUGGGUUGCUGCAAUGUAUAAUAGCAUUGGUUCGCCAAUGUUUGGCGCGGCCAGGACUGGGUUUGUUGCCAAUAUGGCUUUUAUUUCGUCGAGUCCGGCCGUGGCUGCGUCCGUCCACUCGAAGUGUUCGGUGCGCCUAAGGAGGCGGUAAAGGGGGAGUGCCUUUUCUCCCAAGUGGGAGAUAAAGCGGCUUAGAGCCGCCACACAUCCGGUUUACUUUUGUAUUUGUUUGAGGUCCUUUGGGAUAUUCAAUUGUGACAGAGCUCGGAUCUUGGCUGGAUUUGCUUCAAUUCCUCUACCGAAUACAAUGAAGCCCAAGAGCUUUCCGGCUGGAACGCCGAAAACGCAUUUUUCUGGGUUGAGCUUGAUGUCGUAUGUUCGGAGGUUAUCAAAUGUGAGCCUCAAGUCAUCUACUAGGGAUUCGACAUGUCUUGUUUUUACGACCACAUCAUCUACAUAUGCCUCCACUGUUUUGCUGAUCUGGUUUGCCAGACAUGUCUGAAUCAUGCGCUGAUAUGUUGUUUUGAGCCCGAAGGGCAUUGUGUUGAAGCAGAAUGGGCCGUAUGGUGUGAUCAAUGUCGUUGCGGCUUGGUCUGAUUCUGCCAUCUUGAUUUGAUGGUAGCCGGAAUAUGCGUCGAGCAAGCACAACGAAUCGUGUCCUGCAGUAGCGUCGAUAAUUUGAUCCAUGCGGGGGAGGGGAAAGGGAUCCUUUGGGCAAGCCUUAUUAAGGUCUUUAAAAUCAACGCACAAGUGCCAGGAUUUGUCCUUCUUUGGUACCAUCACUAGGUUUGCUAGCCAGUCCGGAUGUUUUAUAUCUCUGAUGGAUCCGGCCUCUAAUAGCUUGGCUAGCUCCUCUCCCAUGGCCUGUCUCUUAGGUUCGGAAAAACGCCGAAGAGCCUGUUUGACAGGUUUGAAUCCUUUAGGAUAUUUAAGCUGUGUUCGGCCAGCCUGCGUGGGAUUCCUGGCAUGUCUGAAGGGUGCCAGGCGAAAAUGUCCUAGUUCUCACGUAGGAACUCUCGCAGUGCGGCGUCUACAUCAGGGUUUAAUUGUGCACCGAUGGAAGCUGUUUUAUUGGGGUCCGUUGGAUGGACCUGGAAUUUGACUAUUUUGUCCGCUGGUUUAAAUGAGAUGGACUUGGAUCUUUUGUCGAGUAUCACAUCAUCCCUGUUCACCGUGGAGCGCAGCGCAGUCAGCUCCUCAGCCGCUAGGGCUUAGGAUAGUGCCUCAAGGGCCAGUGCGGCUGUCUUAUUUUAGGCGCGGAGUGCUAUGUCCAGAUCACUAGCGAGAGUGAUGAUUCCGUUCGGCCCGGGCAUCUUGAGUUUCAUGUACCCAUAAUGGGGUAUUGCUUGGAAGAUUGUGAACGCUUCCCGCCCUAGCAGAGCGUGGUAUCCGCUACUGAACGGGACCACUUGGAACGUGACCUCCUCGGACCUGUAAUUAUCCGGCGUGCCGAACACCACAUCUAGUGUGAUUUUUCCUGUACAGCACGCUUCCUGACUGGGGAUUAUUCCUCUAAAGGUUGUGCUGCUUCGCUCAAUGCGGUUCCAGUCUAUUUCUAGUUUUUGAAGGGUUUCCUCAUAAAUGAGGUUCAAUCCGCUGCCUCCAUCCAUGAGUACCUUGGUAAGGCGAAAGCCAUCCACUAUUAGACUGAGGACCAAUGUGGCUGGUGCUCGGGCUGUUCGGAAUUUAGGUUCAUCACUGGCAUUAAAAGUAAUAGCCGUGUCACUCCAUGGGUUUAUUGUUGCUACUUGGUAGACUUCGACAAGGCUGCGGAGUGUUCUUUUUCGCAUAUUAUUUGAUGCGAAAGUCUCGAAGACUGUUAAUACCGUACCGGUAUCCCUGGGGUGGCUUUCUAUGGCCUCCGGAAUUAGGAGAUCUUCACCAAUUUUGGCCACCUGCCGGAGUAUCCAACAUGCUCUAAGGCUGUGAGUUGGUGUGGCGCCCUCUGUACUAUGAAUUUUACAGGGUCGAUUAAGCCAUCCUUCCAAUAUGCUUCCAUGCCCUGUAGAGGGUUUUUGCUUUUUGGUGUUUAACCGGGUGUCUGGCGAAGAUGCACCCUUUUAUUUCGGACUGGGUUUGUAUUCAGGGCCGGAUUGUCCCAAAAUUUUAUUUCGGUUUUCCAGGCGCUAUCCAUCGCACAGUACUUUCGUACUAUGGACACCAAGUCAGCGAAGCAUGUAAUAUCACGGCGACUUAUGGCGUUGAGGAUUCCCUUGUCCAUGCAAUUAUUGCAGAAGAAUGAGAUUGCGUCUUCCUCGCGGCAGUCCUUGAUCCUGUUCAUAGCCAGGAGGAAUCUGGCCCAGUAAUGAUGUACUGUUUCUUUGGGUUUUUGCCUAAUUUGGGAUAGAUCGCUUAUGUUCGGGUGGGUGGGUGGAAUUAAAUCCGAAACCUGACCCGAUCUGAGACUCAGAGGCCAAGGAGAUUCCGAACUCGGAAGUUUGGAUUCUUGGAUGUUGUCCAAUGAGUCUAGCCCGUCGCCUGACUCUAAGUUCAGGUCUUGAGUGAUGUCCUCCCCUCCGCGGGUAUCCGACUUGGAGGGAUCGGGAAUCCGGACAUAACUAGUCCUUAAGAUAGAUGAAGGGUCACCGCACUGUCCCUCUACCAUAGCAAUGUGAUGGGUGACCUGGGGAGAGUUAAUCUCUCUUAGAUCGGGUUUAGGCCCAAUCUGGUCAUAAUCCGUGGCAACUCCCAGGGCGGCGACGCGAUCCAAGAGCUCGUUUAUGGAAGAGAGCUCCAUUGUAUCUAACUGCUCGGCGAGUUCCGAGAUGACAUGAAGACUGCUUUUGAUGACCCGAGAGGUCAUCGUCGGCGCAGCAGCCGAACAGGCGGUCAUAAGAAAACCGCCUAGCCGGAGAGUUUGGCCGACAGCCAAAGCUCCCUUAGCAACGGUUCCGUCUUUAAAGACGGGAUGAGGCAUCCUUCCUGAUGGCGACGGCACAGAGGAACUCUCAAUGUAAGCACCAAUAUCGGUGUCAAAACCGGCGGAUCUCGGGUAGGGGGUCCCGAACUGUGCGUCUAGGCGGAUGGUAACAGGACACAAGGGACACGAUGUUUACCCAGGUUCGGGCCCUCUCGAUGGAGGUAAAACCCUACUCCUGCUUGAUUAAUAUUGAUGAUAUGGGUAGUACAAGAGUAGAUAUACCACGAGAUCAAGGAGGCUAAACCCUAGAAGCUAGCCUAUGGUAUGAUUGUUGUUGUCCUACGGACUAAAACCCUUCGGUUUAUAUAGACACCGGAGAGGGUUAGGGUUACACAGAGUCGGUUACAAUGGUAGGAUAUCUACAUAUCCGUAUCGCCAAGCUUGCCUUCCACGCCAAGGAAAGUCCCUUCCGGACAUGGGACGAAGUCUUCAAUCUUGUAUCUUCAUAGUCCGGGAGUCCGGCUGAAGGUAUAGUCCGGCUAUCCAGACACCCCCUAAUCCAGGACUCCCUCACCCAGGUUUUCAGCCAAGAUUAUAACUAACCAUGUCGACAAUAACUCUUAAACAUUAUAGUAACUCUUAUGAGUAGAGGCCGCGGGAAAAAGCCUAGUAGUAGCGCGGAUAAAAGACUAGUAGUAGUGCGGGUGCCCGUGCUACUACUAUGGCGCUACAGCUAACUCGUAGUAGUAGCGCAGGUGCCACCCGUGCUACUAGUACGUGUGUUAGUAAUAGCGCGGAUUCUACACACGCUACUACUAACUAUGUGUAGCGCCUGUCUGUGACCCGCGCUACUACUAUUAAUUUCAAAAACCAAAAAAAAAUCUCGACCCCGUGCAUGUUGUCAAUGGUGUCAUCCAGCGACGACAGGGGUUGCCGGAGGUGUGGACGGGUAGUGGCAGACCAGAUCCGGCGAUGGCUGUUGGAGAUGGCCGGAUCCAGUGUAGAGCAAGACGACGGUGUGAGGAUCCUCUUCGCGGUCAAGGCGGAGAACUCCUGGUUGGCCAUGUCGACGACCUGUGCAGGCAUGGGCAUGGGAGGUGAGUAAAACCAAAGGGAGAGGGAGAGGAGAGGGAGAGGGAAAAAGAGAAACAAGGGAGAAAGGAAGGAGAUGGAGGGCGUAUCGGGGCUGCAUGGAGGCGAGGAGGAAGACGGGCGAGCUCUUGGACGCCAGCGAUGCGAGGAGGAAGACGUUGGGUGCCAUGGAGGAGGAGAUGUUCUUGGGCAGGAGCACCAUGGAGAGAGGGGGAAAGUGAGGGAGAGAGGAGGAAAGUGAGAGAGGGGGAAAGUGAGGGAGAGAGGAGGGAUUCGGCCGAGGAUAUGGAGAUUUCAUCUACCUCGUACUUAGUAGUAGCGAGGGGUAUAAAACCGCACUACUACUAUCAACAUAGUAGUAGCAUGGGUUUGUACCCCUCGCUACUACUAUGGCAUGUCCCGGGAGGGCAUGGUAGACACCGCUUAGUAGUAUCGAGGGUGAAAAACCCGCGCUAAUAGUAUCAACUUAGUAGUAGCGAGGGGUAAAAACCCACGCUACUAGUAAGUAGCAGUAGCGACGGUUAUAAACCCGCGCUACUAGUAAGCGUCUGCCUAUAAGCUUUUCCCUAGUAGUGGCAUAUCUAUGACAUAAUCAACUAGCGAGCAAUAAUAAGAUAUCUCAAACAACAACACGUUGUGAAAACAACCAUGAUAUAAUAUGACAAUAGUGGUAUCUCGCUAGCCCUUUCUAAGACCGCAAAACAUAAAUGCAGAGCACCUCCAAAGUUCAAGCAGCGACUAAACAUUGUAAUUCAUGGUAGAAAAGAUCUAGUCUUGAUGCACCCAACAUUAGCAACACAUAGUGCAUCAGCAUGACAACAGUGCUCUUUGGAUUUGGCACUUAUUUUAGAAGGUGAUGACACAACAUAAAAGUAAAUAGAUAGUCCCUUCGCAGAGGGAAGCAGUGAUUUGCAGCUGUGCCAGAGCUCAAAAUUUUAAAACAGAGGUAAAUGAAAUUUUGGGAAAUUGAUACGUAUCCAAUGUAUCUAUAAUUUUUUAUUGUUCCAUGCUAUAUUAUAUUAUGUUUUGGAUGUUUAAUAGGCUUAUUUAUACACUUUUAUAUUAUUUUUGGGACUAACCUAUUAACCGGAGGCCCAGCACAAAUUGCUGUUUUUGUUCCUACUUCAGUGUUUCGCAAAAAAAAGAAUAUCAAAUGGAGUGCAAACGGAAUGAAACCUUCGGGAACAUGAUUUUUGAAACAAAUGUGAUCCAGAGGACUUGGAGUCCAUGUCAAGCAGUCAACGAGGAGGGCACGAGGCAGGGGGCGCUCCUACCUCCCCCUAGGCGCGCCCUCCACCCUCAUGGGGCCCACGUUGCUCCACCGGCGUACUUCUUCCUCCUAUAUAUACCUACGUACCCCCAAACCAUCAGGGGCAUCCACGAAAACCUAAUUCCACCGCCGCAACCUUCUGUACACGUGAGAUCCCAUCUUGGGGCCUUUUCCGGCAUCCUGCCGGAGGGGGCAUUGAUCACGGAGGGCUUCUACAUCAACACCAUAGCCACUCCGAUGAUGUGUGAGUAGUUUACCUUAGACUUUUGGGUCCAUAGUUAUUAGCUAGAUGGCUUCUUCUCUCUCUUUGGAUCUCAAUACAAAGUUCUCCACGAUUCUCGUGGAGAUCUAUUCGAUGUAAUCUUCUUUUGCGGUGUGUUUGUCGGGACCGAUGAAUUAUGGAUUUAUGAUCAAGUUUAUCUAUGAACAAUAUUUGAAUAUCCUCUGAAUUCUUUUAUGUAUGAUUGGUUAUCUUUGCAAGUCUCUUCGAAUUAUCAGUUUGGUUUGGCCUACUAGAUUGAUCUUUCUUGCAACGGGAGAAGUGCCUAGCUUUGAGUUCAAUCUUGUGGUGUCGUUUCCCAGUGACAGCAGGGGCAGCAAGGCACGUAUUGUAUUGUUGCCAUCGAGGAUAACAAGAUGGGGUUUAUAUCAUAUUGCAUGAGUUUAUCUCUCUACAUCAUGUCAUCUUGCUUAAAGCGUUACUCUGUUCUUAUGAACUUAAUACUCUAGAUGCAUGUUGGAUAGCGAUCGAUGUGUGGAGUAAUAGUAGUAGAUGCAGGCAGGAGUCGGUCUACUUGUCACGGACAUGAUGCCUAUAUACAUGAUCAUACCUAGAUAUUCUCAUAACUAUGCUCAAUUCUAUCAAUUGCUCGACAGUAAUUUGUUCACCCACCGUAAUACUUAUGCUUUUGAGAGAAGCCACUAAUGAAACAUAUGGCCCCCGGGUCUAUUUUCCAUCAUAUUAAUCUUCCAACACAUAGCCUUUUCUAUUGCCCUUUUUAUUUUACUUUGCAUCUCUAUUUCUCUUUAUCAUAGAAAUACUAAAAAUAUUAUCUUAUCAUAUCUAUCAGAUCUCACUCUCGUUAGUGACCGUGAAGGGAUUGACAACCCCUUUAUCGCGUUGGUUGCGAGGUUCUUAUUUGUUUUGUGUAGGUGCGUGGGACUUGAGCGUGGCCUCCUACUGGAUUGAUACCUUUGUUCUCAAAACUGAGGGAAAUACUUACGCUACUUUGUUACAUCACCCUUUCCUCUUCAAGGCAAAAAACAACGCAAUGCUCAAGAGGUAGCAAGAAAGAUUUCUGGCGCCGUUGCCGGGGAGUUUACGCAAAAGUCAACAUACCAAGUACCCAUCACAAACUCUUAUCCCUUGCAUUACAUUAUUUGCCAUUUGCCUCUCGUUUUCCUCUCCCUCGCUUCACCCUUGCCGUUUUAUUCGCCCUCUUUUCCGCUCGCCUUUCCUUCGCCAUGUCGGAACCAAAAAGAGUUGGGGGUUCUCUCCCGAGUUUUAGUACUUUGGACGAUCCUUCUAUUCUAUCUAAACUCAUAAAUAAUGUCAUGGUAAAACCUGCCGGAGUUGUCAAUGAGAGUCUUAAUAAUUUUGAUGAAGAUGAUUCCGGAAUUUUUCGUUAUUUACUCGAUGAAUCUUUGAAAGAUGCUUGGGAUAGACUGUUAAGGAUCCGGGCUAACUAUGUGCCCCAAUACCAAAUUGUAGUUUACUUGAAGAGCUUUUAUGUUGCCCUACCUUCUUCGUUUAAGCAUGUCUUAGAUUCUAUAUUUGAAGAAGGCUUUCUUGAAGGGGAUGCCGUAGAUACUUAUGAAAAGAUGAAGACCAUAUUCGGGCACCCCAUGAAUGAGAAAAUUGAAUCUACAUCUCUUUUGCUCUCCAGUCCUUGGUUCAUGUAAAUCUGAAUCUAGCCGGCACUACCCCUUCACAAGCUGUUGCAUAGUCUUCAGCGAGGUGCGGCAUAACUUCCGUGUGAGGGGAAAUGAACUUCUCCAUGAAUACCUUCUCUCUCACCUUGAAAGCGGUAUAGUAGUAGCCUGGGUUGCACUUGAGCAAUCCAUUUUCCAUGAGAAACUUUACAACGUAGUACCUGGGUUUCAUCCAGCCCUCCAGCUUGUAAUUGAUAAUUAUUGACCGUUGAGCAACGUAGGUAGGUUCCAACCUGUUAGACUAUGUAUAGCUUCUGUACCUAUGUACGUAUAUGGUACAUAUUGUAACACAACCAUUAUAUAUAAUGAGAUAAGCCACCCCUAGAGGGUUGUGCUGGUUCCCCAAAACUUAUUGUCUUACAUGGUAUCACGCUAGGUUACGAUCGCUUCCGCUUCUAAACCCUAAUACCCGCACCGCCGCCGCAGCCGCCGCCGCCUUCACCGCCGCCGCCGCGCCACCGAUCGCGCCGCCGCCAUGUCGAGCGCUGCCACCACCGGUUCCACUGCUGCGGGCUUCCUCCCGGCCUCUCUUGCGGCUCUGCUCAACCUCCCGCUCGAUGCCGUCUCUGUUCCGGCUCCGAUCGGGACAAGGAGCAUCGGCUCCGUCUUCUCCAUGCCGCCGGCGCCCUCGCUUGGGCGUGACCUCGUGGUCCACACCGCGGCGCCGCCGUCCGCUGCGGACUCCGCAGGCAUCGUCCCGCCGCUCCUGCCGCAAGCGGAUCACACUGCCCCGCUGGCGGGGUUGGCGGCGUCCGCCCCGGCCGCGGGCCUUGCGGCGUCCGCACCGGCCGCGAGCUUUGCGGCGCCCGCCCUGGCUGCGGUCCCGCCUCCUCCCGCAUCGGCUUCGGUGCCUCCAGCUGCCUCCAUGGUGUUUGCACCCCAGGCAGCCUCCUCGAUGGGAUUGUCUUCGCCGCUGCCGUUUCACUUCGGUCAUCUCAUCACCAUCAAGCUCUCCGCCGACAACUACAUCUUCUGGCGUGCGCAGGUUCUCCCGCUCUUGGGGAGUCACUACCUGCUAGGCUACAUCGACGGAUCGCUUCCCUGCCCACCCGCGCUGGUAGACAGCAUGCACGGUCCGGUCUACAAUCCGGCCCAUCGCGUCUGGACGGGGCAGGACCAGGCGAACCUCUCCUCCAUCCAGGGGUCGCUCUCGCCGGCAGUUGUCGGCCUUGUUGUCUUCGCGAAGACGUCUCAUGAGGCCUGGACCAUCCUUGAGCACACCUUUGCAGCGCAGUCCCAGGCUCGUGUCUCUGCACUCCGUCGUCAGCUUGGAGAGUGUCAGAAGCUUGACUCCACUGCCACUGAGUUCUACAACAAGGUCAAGGGCCUCGCCGACACAUUGGCCUCCAUUGGACAGCCCCUCACCGACUCCGAGUUCAACUCGUUUAUUGUCAAUGGUCUUGAUGAGGAGUAUGAUGCCUUAGUCGAGAUCAUCAACGAGCGGGGCAACUCGACACCCAUGCUGGCACACGAGGUUUUCUCUCGGCUCCUUCUCACUGAGCAACGGGUCGAGACUCGCCGCACCAGGGGCACUGGCUCCCUCUCGGCCAACGCCGCCACCAAGGGUGGCCGCUCUUCUUCAUCACCCCGGUCUCCCUUGGGGCUGCCACCGUCGCCCUCCUCGGCCCCCCACCUACUGCGACCUUACCGGGGGCUGGCGUUCCACGUGUGUGUCAGCUUUGUGGCCGCGAUGGGCACUGGGCCUCCAAGUGUCAUAAGCGCUUCCAGCGAAGCUUCCUUGGUCUUGGCAAUGACGGCAAAGAUACACGCAACAAUGCCCGUCAGGUCGCCAUGGCUGAUCGUCCCGCGCCGCAGAAGCAACAGGGACACACUCAGUCCUACUCCAUCGAUCCACACUGGUACAUGGACUCUGGGGCGAUAGAGCAUCUAACCAGCGAGAUGGGGAAGCUUCACACUCGUGAACCCUAUCAUGGCUCCGACAAGAUCCACACCGCCAAUGGAGCAGGUAUGCACAUCUCUCAUAUUGGUCAAGCAUCUCUUCUCACUAGACAUGCCAAUAGGAGUCUUCAGCUUCGCAAUGUUCUUCGAGUUCCAUCUGUGACCCGUAAUCUUCUUUCAGUUCCUAAACUCACACGUGAUAAUAAUGUGCUUUGUGAAUUUCACCCUUUUGAUCUUUUUAUUAAGGAUCGGGGCACGAGGGACAUUCUUCUUAGUGGGCGGUUGUGCCAGGGCCUCUACCGUCUGGAGCAUCCUGGUGUCGCUCGUGUUUUCAGUGGAGUUCGGGUCUCUCCGUCACAGUGGCAUGCUCGUCUUGGUCACCCGGCCACACCUAUUGUCCGUCAUAUUUUGCGUCGUCAUGAGCUUCCUAGUUUGUCUAGUCAUAAAGAUGUAGCAGUGUGUGAUGCUUGUCAGCAGGGGAAGAGUCAUCAACUUCCUUUUUCGGAGUCCAGUCGUGAGGUGAAACAUCCUUUAGAACUUGUGUUUUCAGAUGUAUGGGGUCCUGCUCAGACUUCUGUCAGUGGUCAUAAUUACUAUAUCAGUAGUCGCUUUACCUGGCUUUACCUUAUUAAACGCAAAUCUGAUGUGUUUGAUAUUUUUGUUCAGUUUCAAAAACAUGUUGAACGUCUUCUCAAGCACAAAAUUGUUCAUGUCCAGUCAGACUGGGGGGGCGAGUAUCGCAACCUCAACUCUUUCUUUCAGUCGCUUGGGAUAGCUCAUCGUUUAGCAUGUCCACAUACACAUCAGCAGAAUGGUUCAGUCGAACGUAAGCAUCGUCAUAUUGUUGAAGCUGGUCUUACUCUUUUGGCCCAUGCAUCUAUUCCGUUUCGGUUUUGGAGUGAUGCUUUCACCAUUGCAUGCUUUCUCAUCAACCAUACUCCUACUCGUGUUUUAAACAUGAAGACUCCCAUUGAGGUUCUCCUUAAUGAACAACCUGAUUAUACCUUUCUCAAGGUAUUUGGGUGUGCUUGCUGGCCGCAUCUUCGUCCAUAUAACAAGCGCAAGCUUGAGUUUCGUUCUAAGAAGUGUGUUUUUCUUGGCUAUAGCUCUCUUCAUAAAAGUUACAAAUGUCUUCAUGUUCCCACUAAUCGUGUCUAUAUAUCUCGGGACGUCGUGUUUGAUGAGCAUGUUUUUCCCUUUGCCAACCUUCCUGUGUCCACUGUCGAACCACCAUCCCUGCAUUCAUCCUCUGUUGCUUCUGACCAAUUUGAUGAUGUUGCAUACUCUCCUUUGCUGUUACCUAACCAUCUCCACUGCUCGGUCCGUUUCGCCAGCGGCCGCCGAGUCGCCCGCGACUCGGCCCGUCACGCCGUCUUCGCCUGCGGCUCGGCCCGUCACGCCGUCUUCGCCCGCGGCUCGGGUCCUCAUGUCGCCUUCAUCAGCGGAUCGGCCUGCGACACCGGCCGCGCCACGGCCCACUAUGCCGAGCUCGCCAUCGGCCCGGUCUGUGAUGCCGGAGUCGCCAGCUGCUUCGUCUGCUCUGCCGGUUUCGCCGGUGGGUCGGCCUUCUUCGCCAACCGAGUCCGAGGCUACCGUGACUGGCUCCUCGUCACCGGCUGACUCGUCAACGUCGCCGUCCUCCAGCCCGUUGCAGGCUGCUCCGUCGACCUCGGUGGUUCCUGUGUCCCGACCACAUACAUGCAGUCGCAGUGGCAUUUUCAAACCUAAGGAACGUAAGGAUGGUACGGUUGCUUGGUUGGCUGCUUGUUUGGCUGCUGCUGUUGCGGAUCCAUCUUCUGAGCCUCGCUCAUAUCAGGCUGCCCUGCGCAUUCCACAUUGGCGAGAGGCUAUGGAGCAGGAGUUUCAUGCUCUUCUUCGUAACAAGACAUGGACUCUCGUUCCUCCACCACCACGGGUAAAUGUUAUUGAAUCAAAAUGGGUAUUCAAAGUGAAGAAGCAUUCGGAUGGAUCUAUUGAGCGUUACAAAGCGCGACUUGUUGCUCGCGGUUUUCGGCAGCGUCAUGGUCUUGACUAUGAGGACACCUUCAGUCCUGUCGUCAAGCCUACCACUAUUCGACUUCUUCUCUCCAUUGUUGUUUCUCGUGGUUGGUCACUUCGUCAACUUGAUGUGCAGAAUGCUUUUCUACAUGGAUUUUUGGAGGAAGAGGUUUAUAUGAAACAGCCGCCUGGUUUCUCUGAUCCUGAUCGUCCUGACUAUAUCUGUCGUCUUUCCAAAGCACUAUAUGGUUUGAAGCAAGCUCCUCGUGCCUGGCAUGCCUGCCUUGCCUCUGCCCUUCGUGCUCAUGGGUUUGUGCCGUCUACUGCUGACACUUCGUUAUUUCUUCUACAGAAGCCAGAAGUCACUAUGUAUCUUUUGGUAUAUGUCGAUGAUAUUAUCCUUGUCAGCUCUUCUCAGUAUGAUGCUGAUGCUCUUGUCUGCUCUCUUGGUGCUGAUUUUGCGGUCAAAGAUCUUGGGAAGCUUCACUACUUUCUUGGAGUUGAGGUCACUUCUCGUGCUACUGGUCUUGUCCUUACGCAGAAGAAGUACUCCUUGGAGUUGUUACAGAGAGCUGGCAUGCUGAAGUGCAAACCGACCACCACACCCAUGUCGUCUACCGACAAGAUAACAGCUGCUGAUGGUGAGCUUUUGUCUCCUGCGGAUGCCACAGAGUACAGGAGCAUUGUUGGUGGACUUCAGUACUUGACGAUCACGAGACCAGAUAUCUCUUAUGCUGUUAACAGGGUUUGUCAGUAUCUUCAGGCUCCCAGAGAUACUCAUUGGGCUGCUGUUAAACGCAUUCUUCGUUAUGUUCAGUUCAUCCUGACAUUUGGUAUGCAUAUUCGGCCGACUUCCUCUCGGGUCCUUUCGGCCUUCUCUGAUGUAGAUUGGGCUGGUAGCCCAGAUGACAGACGAUCCACGGGGGGUUAUGCAGUAUUCUUUGGCUCUAAUUUGAUCGCCUGGAGUGCUCGGAAACAAGCUACUGUGUCACGUAGCAGUACUGAAGCUGAGUACAAGGCUGUGGCUAAUGCUACUGCAGAGAUUAUUUGGGUGCAGUCUUUGCUUCAGGAGUUGGGUUUGUCUCAACCACAGCCUCCUAUUCUUUGGUGUGAUAACAUCGGUGCUACAUACCUUUCUGCAAAUCCAGUAUUUCAUGCCCGAAUGAAACACAUUGAAGUUGACUAUCACUUUGUACGGGAACGUGUAUCACAGAAGCAACUCCAGAUCAAGUUUAUCUCAUCUAAGGAUCAACUUGCAGACAUCUUCACUAAGCCUUUACCGCUGCCACAGUUUGAGGCUUGUAGGCGCAAUCUUACCCUUCUCAGUUCUUUAGAAAGUGGCUAAGAUUGAGGGAGGGUGUUAGACUAUGUAUAGCUUCUGUACCUAUGUACGUAUAUGGUACAUAUUGUAACACAACCAUUAUAUAUAAUGAGAUAAGCCACCCCUAAAGGGUUGUGCUGAUUCCCCAAAACUUAUUGUCUUACACAACCCCACCUCAGAGAUGAGGAAAUCAGACCUGCGCUGCAGUAAUUCCUUUGACUUCCUCAGCAGACACGGAGCGUUACACACAACAAUGCUCACCUCAGCGUCUGACCACCUGAACAUCUUCUUCAAGUAGGCCACAUUGGCGGCGAUCUUCUCCUCGCUGAGGAAUCUGACAGUAUCCAGCGUGUGCCUGAACAUCCUGAGCCACGAGGCAUGCCAAGGCCUUCGGCGCAUGCCACCAUCGCCCUGACGUGUUCUGGCUUGUUGCUCAGGACACCCCGCGCGCGGAGGGACAACUUGGUGAUAUCGCAAUCAUCUAGCCCGCAUUGCCGUAGGAGCGCGACGUUGGGUUUGACCAUCUCCUCGAUGCUGUGUUUUGGUUUUCGGUUUGCGUUUUUUCUCGCCCCUGAACGAGAUGGCCGAAAUUCGGCCAUUUCAAAAAUCUCGGUAAAAUCUCGGACGAAAUUACAAAACCAAAAUUUGAAUUUUAAACGAAAUUUGACUAAAAAUUGGCCGAAAUUCGGCCGAAUUUUUUGAAAACAAGCAGAGCAAAUGUACAGCAGUCGAACAACACUGAGGAGUACAUGUAUGCGUUACCAAACUAGCUUUGGGGAUUAAUAACUCCAAAAGAAAAGAUUGAAACAAGGAUACAGAGAGGUGAUCCAGAGUUGAGGAGUUCCCGAUGGAUUCAGCCGCAGCCCGCAGCCGGCAGAGGUCAGCAGCAGGGGCCGGUCGUAGGAACGGCGAGAACGGGGUAGGAGCCGCAUGCUCGAGCGGGGAGGCAGGUGCCGACGAGCGGAGGAGCCGCGUAUUGGCGCAUCGCCGCCGCCGCAAACACAGGGGCCGCAGGGGAUCGUGGUUAGUUUAGGGUUCACGAGUUCGGUUCGAUGCUUUUAAUCCAGGCAAACCGUGGGGAGGCCCAGAAGUUGGACUGGGCCAGAAAAAAGUUUCAAUCUGGGCCGAAAGUUUUGGCCGGCACAGACAUUUACCGGGUCGAGGCGAGAUGACCGAAAUUCGGCCGAAAAUUGUUUUUUUCGGCCGAAAAUCAAAACACAGCCUCGAUGUCAGCGCCGGCGAGGUAGCCUUGCUUGAGCACCCGGAAGAGGUUCUCCGAGGAGCCGAAUAGGAGCAGGUAGUACCGCAAAUUGGAAACAAUGGACCUGGAACAGAAGUGGGCGAAGGAGAGCGCGACGAGGCGCACGAUCUCAGUACGCGAGAGGCCGAGGCCGGUGAGCCCACGACGACGGGGGCUAGAGUUUUCUCUACUUUGGCGCAGAGGAACAACGGGUCCUUGGCGACGAGGGCGGCGACGUCGGUGCCGGAGAGGCCGAGGCCGGCGAGGAAGGAAAGGACGGCGUCGGGCUUGGACGAGGACUUGAGGUGGGAGAGCUUGGCGGAGGCCUUGAGUGCCUGGGGUCGGGUGAGGCCGAAGGUGGAGACGAGGUAGUCGUCGACGACGAAGCUAGGGUUUGGGGAAACGCCGGGCGCGGCGGCCGCGGAGAGGGGGCGGUGGAGAGGGGGGCCUGAGAGGUGGCGGGGGAAGAGAGGAGCCGCACGAGGAUGCAGCCACGGAGGCGGAGCAUGGCGGCGGCGGCGGCGGAGAGAUUGAUUCCCUAUGGAGGCGGGUGCGAAUGGGAUGGUGCUUCGGAGGCGGGGAUGCGGCGCCCCGGCGAGGCAGGUGAGGAACGGAGGAAGAGAACAGGAGGAGAGAUCGAAGAGGAUGGCACUUCGGCGGCGGCGGCGGCGCCGCCGAAGAGAUUUUCCGGUCCGCUGUGAGUGGAGAGGAAAAAUGGGAAAUGGCAGGUGCGAUGCGAAUGGAGGCUCCGCAAAUUGCAAUAUCACUGAAUCCCAGGGGUCUUUACGUCUUUCAAAAAUACAAAAUACAUUUAAAAAAACAUACAUAAUACAUUGAGCCUCAUGGAAACUUUCAUAUACACAUGGAAAAUAGAUAUCCCCUCCGUUUAAUAAUGUAGUGCAUAUAGAUUUUUGAAAGUCGGACUUUGCAAAUUAUGAUCAAAUUUAUAAAGCGAACUACUUAUACCUACAUUAUCAAAUAUAUAAAAUAUGAACCUACGUCUUAUGAUGAAUCUAAUGAUAUAUGCUUGACAUUCUAGAUGUAAAUGUUUUUCUUCACAAACUUGGUCAAAUUUUGUUAGAUUUGACUUUUCAAAAAAUCUACAUGCAAUCAUUAUGCAAUCGGUAUUAUAAGGAAAAUGACUUUGAGCGAUAAGAUUAUAUCACAAAAUAAGCUAUUAUACGACUUGUACUUAUCCUAUGAUUUUUUUCUGUAGGUAUAGUACUUCAUCCGUUUUUAUUUACUUUGCAUAUUAGAGUUGACUGAAGUCAAACUUUGUAAAGUUUGACCAAGUUUAUAGAAAAGAAUAUAAAUAUUUACCCUAACAAACGAAAAUCUGCAUCUGAGCCCGGGCUCAGAUGUUCCCGCUCAGAAAAAAAUUCAAAACAAAUUCUAGAAAAAUUCAAAUAAAUCCAAUUUUUUGUGUGGUAGAUAAUUUGAUGCGUGAGGCCCGCUUCAAAUUUCAACUCAUUUGGAUAUCUGAGGAGCUCUCGGCAAAAAAGACAAAUCGGAUCAAAACAGUUCGUGAACAAUAAACUUUUUUACAGACCCGAUUUUGUCUUUUUGCAGAGAGCUGCUCAAAUGUCCAAACGAGUUGAAAUUUGCAGCAAACCUCACGCAUCAAAUUAUCUAUCACACAAAAAAUGGAAUUUUUUUGAUUUUUUCUAGUAUUUGUUUUGAUUUUUUUCGUCGGAGCGAGUGCAGUUGAGCCCGGGAGCCAAAUUGGCUUAUAUGAUGUGAAAGUAUGUUCAAUAAUGAAUGUAAUGGUAUUGAUUUGUUAUUGUACAUGUUAAUAUUUUUGACUAUAAACUUCGUCAAAAUUUAUAAAGCUUGACUUUGACCAAAACUAAUAUGCGGAAUAAAUAAAAACGGAGGGAGUAAAUGGCUAUGUUUUUUUUUGUACGUAGUAAAUGGUUACUUUUUCUGAUUUUUUUUAAAUGGUUAUGCUUGCUAACCAAUCCAAUUCAAAUUAUAUGUCGCUCAAACGGAUGUAUCUAAUUAAUAUGGAUCGGAUGGAGCAGAAAAGUUCAUAUGGAUAUAUAUUUUCUCAAAACUUGAAAGUAUGAUUUCUACAAGUAAAAAAAAAUCAUAUGUGAACUAUGUUUGUUUUUAGCAUUUUGUGUGCGUUCAUGUUUCUUUUUCUCUCUCUUCAUUCUAGCCUCUUUUCCUCCACCUCACUCUGUUCUCACAUUGACAUUGUUGCCUUUUUCAGUGGACUCCUACCUAUCUUUUCUAACUUUUGCAAGGUGAGAAUUGAGAAGGUUAUUAUUCUUUAGUUUUAUGUGUAUAGCUAUCCUAGAGUCGAGAUCAAUUGCAUCGUGUCCACUUAUCCUCUAUAACACUAAGCUUCCUAGUUUUAAAAAGCCCACACUCAAUUAAGGUCUCCAAUUAGAAUUGGAUCAUCCGAUUUUGAACGGGUCAACAAUUUCUCAAAGCUUCAUAAUCCAAUUUUUUUAUACUAUACCAUAUGCUUCCUAAUUUUUAAGGCCUCACAAUUAAUUAAGAUAUUCAAUAUAGAUUGAUCAUCCAAUUUUGACUGGGUCAACAAUUUCUCAACCUCUCCAAUUGAAUUCUUUUAAUUCACUAUAUUCCAAAAUUUUGAAUCUCUUUCAUUCAAUUGAGGUAUUCAAUUUUGAUUUGGUUGAAGAUUUUGAGUGGGCCAAUGAUUUUCAAAUCAAUCAGCUGCAACUGACCUAUAAAAACAUAUCAAUCCCAUGCACCCUUCCACCACAUAGAAAAAAGAAACGUCACCAUGUGAUAUUGUAGUAUCAAUAUAGUACAUGCAACCACCAACGCAGAAAUUUUUCCACAUAAAUAUAGGUUGGUUAGCGGAUGACACAGUCAUCUCCCCACCCGCCUAACUUAAUAUUCCAUCAGUUAUAAAAUAUGAAGGGUAUUAAUUUUGUAGAAAGUAAAACUUCUUUAACUUUGACCAAGUUCAGAGCAAAAAUAUCAACAUCCACAAUAUUAAACAAAAAAAGUAUGGAAAUUCAUUUCGUGAUGAAUCUAAAAAUACUGAUUUAAUCUUAUGAAUUUUGAUAUAUUUCUCUCAAAUUUGAAAAAACUUAAAAGGUUUGGCUUUUCAAAAAAAUACACCUUAUAUUAUGAAACAGAGUGAUUAGUUUCUUAAGAUACCCAAUAACAUGAACGGCGCAGCAAAGCGCGCAGAACCCUUCUAGUUAGUAGUAUAUCUAAGAACAAUUAGCAUCCCAUUGAUGAUCGAUAAACCUUCUUAGUCCAGCUAGUGGUUGGUUGUCUAGAGUAUAGCUGGCCAAAUGGGCCGGUUUUUUCGGGUCGGCCCGUGAGCACGCCGGCACGGCCCACCUUGGGCCAGGCACGGCACGGGCCAAACGAGCCAGGCCCAGCACGCGGCACGCCCUAGGCCGUGCCUGGGCUGGAGGCUGGGCAUGCGGGCCGGCACGGCACGGCCCGAUUAUGUUUUUUAUAUUUGUUAUACAUUUAUAUAUGAUCCAACAUGUAAAAAUAAGCUAAAAACGCUCAAUGCGUCAAAUAAUAGGCUAAAAAUAUGCGGCCCACCGUGCUAAAUGGGCCAACGUGCCGGCUCGUUUACUAACGGGCCGUGCCUGGGCCUGGGGGCGCAGCACGCGGGCCGGCACGGCACGGCACGUAUAGUAAUCGUGCCCUGGCGGACCGUGCCGGACCAGGCACGAUUAUGAUGGGCCGGGCCAUGCCGUGCCGGGCCAGCCCGUUUGGCUAGGUAUGGUCUAGAGAUCUAUAUGGAGUCAGUUGAGAUGGGAUGGUCAGCCAAGUGGGUUGAUCAAUGCUCCUCUUAAAAUUCGAAGCCUAAAGUAGAUGUGCUACUCGAGAAAUAAAAAGACCAACGUAGACCGUACCAACAUCUAAUAUUUGACGUCACAUUUAAAUUUGAUACUAUUCAUACCCAUAAUUGUCCCUUUGCUCAUCGAAUUAUGCAUCUUAUAUAAAUGUUGUAAAUGAUCAAUUUUUAUAAUAAUUUUAGGGUUGUAGUUCGGUGCAUAGGUAGCUCAGAGGAACCAUAGUCAUCGCUUCCUCUCCAAAAAAGCUUAGGGUUCCUAUGCCUCCCGCUGGCGCAGCUGCCGGUCCACCUCGUCUCCGGUGGCCCUAGGGUCAUGGGGACACGGUGAAUCUCAUCCCUUACCAGAGGGCUUCGUUUUUAGACGUUUCUUUGAAUUUUGUUAGGGUUGUGUCUUGCUAAUUAAGGAGGGCAAGACAACGACGGCUUCCUGAAGAUUGAAUAAGAUUCUCCCCGCCUAGCCCCCGUCUCGAUGGCGCAUCUAACAUCGUCGAAGAGUGUGUGGAGGUGUAUCUCCGCCAGAUCUCGCAGGAUUCGGUAGGUGGUUUGUCUUUGGUGGAUCUACUCGGACCCGGUCUUCGUUCGUCUACGUUUGUGUGUCGCUAGAUUGGAUCCUUCCGAUCUAUGGGUCUCUUCAUCGGCGGGGGUUGCUAUUCUAGUGCGCUGGUCCUACGAGGCCUUAGCACGACAAGUUCCCGACUGUGUACUACAAUAAGUUCUGCCCGGCUCCGGGGAGGGAAGGGCGAUGACGACGGUGCGUCUUCGGCUCGUUUUAAUGCUUGUAGUCUUUGCUAGAUGGUCUAAGGAUGAAUGUGAUUUUUAUUAUUCCUAUUGUUCAUUGUAUUGUCAUGAUUGAAAAUGAAUAUAUCAAAUGAUUUCUCAUAGAAAAGAAGCUCAUAAGAACCAUUAAAAGGACAAUCGUGUGGUCUCCCUAGACUUUUUUUUAGAAAAGGAGGAAGACCCCCGGCCUCUGCAUCUGAGCGAUGCAUACAACCACUUUAUUAAUUAUUCUCAAAAGACCUUACAAAGAAAUACAACAAUAAGUCUGAAGCCAUCAUCUAGGCAACAUCUGUUGCUACUCCUAUUCAUUUGAUGAAGGGAUGCUGAUAGUCUGGGCUUAAUACCAAACAGACCUCGCAGCCAAACCUAACAUCUAAGACCUGAGUUCCCAUCCAGGACGCCUGCCGGGUAUGGGUCACCCACCGGUCCGGCACACUCCUCAACAUGGACGCCUGCCGGGUAUGAGGCCGCCGCAGCCACCUGCCACCAAUCCAUCUUCAGAGAUGUAGUGUUGCAUCUACCUUGUCCGGUCUAGCUGCCGUCGACGCCACCACGAUGCCAGACAACGCCACCAUCCUGCGCUCGUCCAUCAACACACGCCCAGCAGCAAGAUCCCGCUGCUCUAUGCCCCUGAGACCCGCCAUUGUCGACGUAUCAGAUGCAACGCCGCUCCUCCUUCGCGAACACCACCUUCUACCACUGGUCCUAUCCCCUCCACCUGUAGAUCCUCUGAACUCCCAACCGAGCCCUAGUGCCCCUGACGACACCUCCAGGAAGGUCACGACGCAAAAAGCGCCGCUGCCGCCAGAUCCGAAAAGGAUUGAAGGUUUUCACCCGGCCGGGGAUCGGGGUGGAUAGAUUGGGCCCUCAGCUGCGCCUUCAUGAAGGAAAGCGGCACCCAUGAGCGUCGCCGCCGCCGGGCCGGCUAGACUGGCCAAGGUUUUCCCCGGACCCAAAGUACACCACCAGGGCUGACCACCACCGGAGCCUGCAGCCGUAAACCACCAGGACGACGACAGAGGCAGCAGGAGAAAGGGGAACCAUUAAAAGGACAAUCGUGUGGUCUCCCUAGAUGGUCCUUGGAGGGAGCGAUGCAAUUUCAUUUCCUUUUUAUUGCAUUCUCAUGGAUCUAUGGGAUACACAGAUUUGGAAUAGCCAUGCGUUAUAUAGGUUUGGAAAAGAUGAAUGGGCAGGACAAAGCCCAUCAAGGUCCACAGUUGGACAUGGUAUUUUUCUCUUCCCUGAUCUUGUGUGGUUGUUACAUUACAACGAGGACUAGAUGCAUUCAUGAACCUGAGGAGACUAUAUACGGUGAUUAUAUCGUGGCUAUCAUAUUUACCUAUUUUACAAAGAAUGAUCGGAUAUAAUUUACUGGUACAAUCCAUUGUGUGCCUUUCACGCUUCCGUCAGUUUAAUUUCCUCACAUUUUAAGUAGUCUUGUGAAGUUGUGAUCAGGUAGCUCGCAAUCUGAAUUUCUGUAAUGAAUUUUUUUUGGUCCAACGAGUAAAACGUAGACUUGGUGACCCUCAAAAGGGAUGAUAUUUUACAUAACGAGUAAAUCAUGAUGUCCUUAGAUAUUUCUUAUGAGUAUUUCUUCUUUUCUGCGGAAAAGUUUCUUGUCUUCCGAACUCUUGGAUGUGGGCAGAACUCUUGAUGAGCCGAGGCACCCGCGGCAUGCCAUUGUGAGUCAAGUUUGCCAUUGUUUGAUGGGAAGUUUUCAAGUGCUACAUGUAGAAGGACGCUAUAGUGGCUGCAAUCUUGCUGCUAAGUGACACGUACUGUCACCCUGUUUCUAAUGAAAAAAACUGAAGAACAAUGACUCAUUUAAACAUUGUUCAAUUUUGUGGUUCAUGAGCCUUUUCUUCAAAGUUUACUUAAAAGUUGGGUUAUUAGGUAAAAAAUGGUUCCUUUCCUUUUGUGCUUGCAAUUUAUUGUCCUGACAAAAACACUUUUUAUUGCAGUGCUAAGAAAAUGCGUCUACUACUUGACUGAACUAAAUACUCUUGAUAGCAAACCCUCUCUGGGCAUAUUCGUAGAUUCAAGGUGAGGAGACAUGCCAGCAUACAGACCAGCAACAUACAUGGCACAUGUACGACGUUCUAACAAGAGCAUAAAGUUGAUUGAUUCUUGAUAGCAUCACCUGAAUAUAUCACUCACGGAUUCAUGAAUGUUCCCCGUUGCAAUGCACGGCCAUUCACCUAGUAAAGGCAAUGAUUUGUUGGUAGUAGAGGCAUCUCAUGUUUCAAAGGGUUAAACCUUAGCCGUCGUGACCCGGCUCCAUGGCUGGGUCAAUCUCGCACCUCUGUUGGUGCCGAACCCUAGGCAAAUUCCCCCAAAUCUCUUGUUGUUUCUAUUGAUUGACCGAAUGUGAGGAGCAAUAGUAGAUCAAUAACUCUCGUAUAACCGAGGGAAAAAGAAAUGAAGAGAAGUUGGCGAAAGUAUCAAGUGGUACAUCUACUUUUUAUAACAUCACAUGAAGCCGGCGAAAAGGAAAGCCGAUCAACGAAGAAACUGCAUAGGGGACCUAUCAUGAGUGAACAUUGCGUGGGCGCCAUUGGCCGCAUCUCAUCAUCUUGUUGUGUAGAAGAAGAAAUGACUGCCGAUGCUGCUGGUGCCUCCAUCUCUAUGACCUUGCCGUCCAAGCCCGCAUUAGCAACAAACACGUAGCACUAGAGCACGGGAGGAGAGUUGAUCAGGGAAAUCGCCUUUCUUGACGACAGGAGAAUUAGUGAUGGGCGACUCCACGCGACGCUGAUGUGAUUUCAGGCCACACUAAAGGAUGUCGGAGAAGGGGGCCAUAGGACGAACUCAACCGCAUCGGUAGUGGGCUUGGUGGAUAUUGUGUCGAGGGCUCGGGGACGCACUCGGUGAUGGUGGUGGACCUCGGGGAGGGGGGCCUCAUACACGUGGAUGCAGGGGAAAAGAGGGUGCACGGGCUUGAAGGCAUUACUCAUCCACCUCUUCUGGCAAAGAGAGCUCAUCGGGGCCAACCGCGUGAAGGAGGAGCUUGAGGUAGCUUGGAGGAGGCGACGACGACAACCAGAUCCAUCUGGCAAGCCAGAGUGGAGGCAUCCCACGUGGGAGCAGUGAUUUCGGUGCCUAAGCUUAGAUGCACCUGCUAUUAUGUUUGUUCAUUGCUGCAUGGAGAUUCAGGAAAUGGGGCAUGAGGUGGCAUUGCUAGGGCGUGGAAAAUCCCCAAAAUGAACUAUACAUGCAUGAAUAGUGUGAUACAUGUGGGUCUAUCGUGUAGCACACGAGGAGGGUUCGAACGAAGGACAGACGGUGCCAUCUUGGUUGGAUUCUGAUCCAUGGCACCUAAUCGUCUGCAUUCAUCUAAGUCGUGGCUCACUCUGCUGCCUGUGGCAUGACUUUGACACUUUGAAUCCGAGUCAUGGCCUAAAGAUUUGUGUAGCUCCAGUUGGGGCCUGCGGUGUAGGAUCGUCGGUACGCACACCGAAUGUCAUCCACGACCGACGUCGGCCAACAGAUUGCUAGCUUACUAGACGCUACAAGAGGUAGCGUCCUUCGUGAAGUUUGUGUGCUUCAACACCAACCAGGUCAUCCUAAGCCGUCAUGGACAACCCAUUCAUCUACGUGGUUGACUUCAACAUUGGAGACGACUUCUCAUGGUCGUUGCUCAUGUCACACCUUGCUCACCAUGGCAACAAGCUGUUUCAUGUCACGUCACUUGCCACCACAUUAAUGCACCGCGCGGAUACGCAUGCACCUACAAUCGUGCAUGGUGUCCCUCAGAGUUCACGCGCGUCCCUAGGGGCUCCCAUUCCAGUACGACGAGAAGGACCUCCUGGUCUGGGCUGGAAGUCACGUAAUGGUACCUACAACAAUCUCGAAAAGAGUAGAAGGCCUGGAUUUCGAGAGCAUCUGAGCUCGCACUUAGAAAUCUAUUUUUGUUCCCACGGUCCAUACAUAGAGAGAAACUAGAAAAGAAAAUGCAAAACACGCAUACAUGCAUGCAUGCUUCCACAAAUGGGUUACCAGAUACCUUUCUGGGGCUCUGGUGACCUCACAUUCAUUGUUGACCCCUUACGACCUCACAAUCAUGGGAGAGAUUUCAUGACCGCACACUGUCUCUAUAAAAGCCUAUCACCUCUAUGAAUCAUGUGGCUCCAUCAUUUCAAAUCCUCCGCGCGCCUAAGAUACCACUUGAGAAAUUACUAAUGGCCAACGGAAAGAAUGUCAUGGCCAUGUUGUUUCUCACCACCAUUGUGGCGGUGGCGGCCACAAGGCCAGCCGAGACCUAUGGCGCUGCGGAGGAGAACACAUUGAAGAUGGCUACCCCCAGCAAGAAAGGGGUUGACGCUACCUUAGCAGCUACACGUGUUGUUGCCGCCGAGAAGUCCAUCAAGAAGGCUGAAAGCGCCACCACACCAGAAGAGGCCGCGACUGCCAAGCAAGAUGGAGCAAAAUCUGCUUCUGCUGCAUUAAAGUACAAUGCCAUCUCUCAGCAGGCAAAUGGUAAAGGUUCUUCUACCUCCCUAGGCAGGAAAGAAGCAGCCGGUACUUUAGCCGCCGCACACUAUGCCGCCGCCGAGAAGUCCAUCAAGAAGGCCGAAACCGCCAAGACACCUGCAAAGGCCGUGGCUGCCAAGCGAGACGCAGCAAAGUCUGUUGACAAUGCAUUAAAGUAUGAUGCCAUCUCUCGGAAAGCAGCUGGUACAAGUUCUUCUACCUCCCCCAAUAGGAAAGAAGGCACCACUGAUGCUGCUAAGAUGUUCACCAAGAAGGCUGAAACCGCUACCACACCUGAAGAGGCCGCGAAUGCCAAGCAAGCUGCAGCCAAGUCUACCGCUGCUACAUCAAAGUAUGGUGUCAUUUCUCAGCAAGUAGCUGGUACAAGUUCUUCUACCUCCCCUAGCAGGAAAGAAGCUGCCGGUACCUUGGCAGAUGCUCACAUAGCUACUGCCGAGAAGUCCAUCAAGAAGGCUGAAACCGCCACCAGACCUGAAGAGGCAGCAUCCGCUAAGAAGGAUGCCGCGAAAUCUGAGGCUAAUGCAAUGCAGUACGGGGCCAUCUCUCAGCAGGCCACCGGCAAAAAUGGUGCCUAAGUGGUGCCUUAAACACCUAUUCACGCGCAACAUCAUCUACAUACUACCAUGCACGCAAAAUAGCAGCAUUGAGAUACCACGUUAUGCUAAUUCUCAUGCAUGCAUGCUUUGUUUAAACGUUCACAUUAUGAAUCAUGUAUUAAUGUCUUGCUUGUUUUAUUUUUAGUAGUAAGACACGCUUGACUUGCUUUAAAAAAAAUACAACAAUCGAUGUAUACAUGUAUCAUCUGAAAAUUAAUAAUAUGAGUUCCACCACAAUUUGUGUCUUUUUGUCAUAUUUUGGGUGCAAUCAAUGCACACAUCCAAUACACAAAAUUGGACGAGUCAAUGUGUUAUGGCUCCAUGGAGCGGCGAAUCAUGUUUUAUUGUCUUGCUUGUUUUACUUUUAGUAGUAACUAG
Molecule: long non-coding RNA, 42094 nt
Filed under: Triticum aestivum (bread wheat)
Lineage: Eukaryota; Viridiplantae; Streptophyta; Magnoliopsida; Poales; Poaceae
Description: long non-coding RNA (TAES_LNC009586)
Source: RNAcentral